ACAACGACUCUCGGCAACGGAUAUCUCGGCUCUCGCAUCGAUGAAGAACGUAGCGAAAUGCGAUACUUGGUGUGAAUUGCAGAAUCCCGUGAACCAUCGAGUCUUUGAACGCAAGUUGCGCCCUAAGCCUUUAGGCCGAGGGCACGUCUGCCUGGGUGUCACG
RNAcentral lists this ribosomal RNA (163 nucleotides) under Deinbollia pervillei. Its description in RNAcentral is "5.8S ribosomal RNA". It matches the Rfam family "5.8S ribosomal RNA". From Rfam's summary of the family: 5.8S ribosomal RNA (5.8S rRNA) is a component of the large subunit of the eukaryotic ribosome. It is transcribed by RNA polymerase I as part of the 45S precursor that also contains 18S and 28S rRNA. Lineage: Eukaryota; Viridiplantae; Streptophyta; Magnoliopsida; Sapindales; Sapindaceae. The record is from RNAcentral.